GCCGGCUUAGCUCAGUUGGUAGAGCAAUGGUUUUGUAAACCAAAGGUCGGGGGUUCGAUUCCUCUAGCCGGCU
This 73-nucleotide transfer RNA is filed under the name Candidatus Omnitrophota bacterium. RNAcentral describes it as "tRNA-Thr". It matches the Rfam family "tRNA". Rfam says of the family: Transfer RNA (tRNA) molecules are approximately 80 nucleotides in length. Their secondary structure includes four short double-helical elements and three loops (D, anti-codon, and T loops). Lineage: Bacteria; Pseudomonadati; Candidatus Omnitrophota. The record is from RNAcentral.